Perca flavescens (yellow perch) is the source of this 121-nucleotide long non-coding RNA. RefSeq lists it as uncharacterized. Lineage: Eukaryota; Metazoa; Chordata; Actinopteri; Perciformes; Percidae. The transcript has 3 exons. The record is from RefSeq and is a predicted model, not a curated record.
UUUGGCUUUUCAAGGAAACUCGUUUGAACAAGGUUUGCUGUUUCCUGAAAAGGUUUACAAUUUUAGCCAUUACUGAAUUUGUCUUCUGAUGCAUGUGGAAAUGCAAAGACUGUGGUACAUC